GUGAGUCAUCGAAUCUUUGAACGCAUAUUGCGCCCUUUGGUAUUCCGAAGGGCAUGCCUGUUCGAGCGUCAUUAUCACCCCUCAAGCCCCCGGGCUUGGUGUUGGACGGUUUGGUCUCGGGUGACGAGACCCCUCCUAAAGUCAAUGACGGCGGCCUGCUCGACCCCCGGUACACUGAGCUUCUUAACUGAGCACGUAUCGGCCUAGGCAGGACACCGGUCUUAUUCCUUAACCGGAAAACCUCUCUUCAAGGUUGACCUCGGAUCAGGUAGGGAUACCCGCUGAACUUAAGCAUAUCAAUAAGCGGAGGA
Molecule: unclassified non-coding RNA, 311 nt
Filed under: Herpotrichiellaceae sp.
Lineage: Eukaryota; Fungi; Ascomycota; Eurotiomycetes; Chaetothyriales; Herpotrichiellaceae
Description: partial contains 5.8S ribosomal RNA, internal transcribed spacer 2, and large subunit ribosomal RNA
Rfam family: 5.8S ribosomal RNA (bases 1-71)
Source: RNAcentral